AGCUUUGCGCAGUGGCAGUAUAGUAGCCAAUGAGGUUUAUCCGAGGUGCGACUAUUGCUAAUAGUUGAAAUACAUGUUUUAUGUUAUAUAUAUUUUACCACAAUAAAAAAUGAUUAAAAAAUUUUGGCGUUGGGGCACCUG
Small nuclear RNA from Vulpes vulpes (red fox), 141 nucleotides. Its record names the gene U4. It matches the Rfam family "U4 spliceosomal RNA". From Rfam's summary of the family: U4 small nuclear RNA (U4 snRNA) is a component of the major U2-dependent spliceosome. Lineage: Eukaryota; Metazoa; Chordata; Mammalia; Carnivora; Canidae. The record is from Ensembl.